Molecule: ribosomal RNA, 497 nt
Filed under: uncultured bacterium
Lineage: Bacteria
Description: partial 16S ribosomal RNA
Rfam family: Bacterial small subunit ribosomal RNA
Source: RNAcentral
GAUGAACGCUGGCGGCGUGCCUAAUACAUGCAAGUCGAGCGAACGGACGAGAAGCUUGCUUCUCUGAUGUUAGCGGCGGACGGGUGAGUAACACGUGGAUAACCUACCUAUAUGACUGGGAUAACUUCGGGAAGCCGGAGCUAAUACCGGAUAAUCUUUUGAACCGCUUGGUUCAAAAGUGAAAGACGGUCUUGCUGUCACUUAUAGAUGGAUCUGCGCUGCAUUAGCUAGUUGGUAAGGUAACGGCUUACCAAGGCAACGAUGCAUAGCCGACCUGAGAGAGUGAUCGGCCACACUGGAACUGAGACACGGUCCAGACUCCUACGGGAGGCAGCAGUAGGGAAUCUUCCGCAAUGGGCGGAAGCCUGACGGAGCAACGCAGCGUGAGUGAUGAAGGUCUUCGGAUCGUAAAACUCUGUUAUUAGGGAAGAACAUAUGUGUAAGUAACUGUGCACAUCUUGACGGUAACUAAUCAGAAAGCAAAGGCUAACUACGUG